This 342-nucleotide long non-coding RNA is filed under the name Mytilus galloprovincialis (Mediterranean mussel). Lineage: Eukaryota; Metazoa; Mollusca; Bivalvia; Mytilida; Mytilidae. The record is from RNAcentral.
GCAAUAUUAUCUCAUUGAAUAUAUAAUGAAAUAUAAAAAAAAAAUUGAUACGAGUAAGGUAUCAUAAAUAUCUUACAUGAUCUUAUAUAAACUUCGAAUUCUAUGAGUUGUAGCAGUGGGGACUUUUGACUUCCGUAACAGUAAUUCCAUAAACAAUCAACUUAUUGUUUCAACAAAAUGGAGGUCCAUGUCCACCUCUCCCCUAUGUAUGAAAGAAAUCCACCUCUUGGUAGGUCUUAAAACUUUUCGAUUUUGUCCCUGUAAGUGAAAUUUUUUUAGGGUAUGCCCUACAUCUUUAAAAUAAAACUAAAUUGAAAAUUCAAAUGAUCCUCCCCCCCCCCC